AUUGAACGCUGGCGGCAUGCUUUACACAUGCAAGUCGAGCGGCAGCGCGGGGGCAACCCUGGCGGCGAGCGGCGAACGGGUGAGUAAUGCAUCGGAACGUAUCCUGUAGUGGGGAAUAACUCACCGAAAGGUGAGCUAAUACCGCAUAAGCUCUGAGGAGGAAAGCGGGGGACCGAAAGGCCUCGCGCUGCAGGAGCGGCCGAUGUCCGAUUAGCUAGUUGGUGAGGUAAAGGCUCACCAAGGCGACGAUCGGUAGCUGGUCUGAGAGGAUGAUCAGCCACACUGGGACUGAGACACGGCCCAGACUCCUACGGGAGGCAGCAGUGGGGAAUUUUGGACAAUGGGGGAAACCCUGAUCCAGCCAUGCCGCGUGAGUGAAGAAGGCCUUCGGGUUGUAAAGCUCUUUCGGACGGAACGAAAUUGCUUGGACUAAUACUCUGAGUAGAUGACGGUACCGUAAGAAGAAGCACCGGCUAACUACGUG
Molecule: ribosomal RNA, 484 nt
Filed under: uncultured organism
Description: bacterial SSU rRNA
Rfam family: Bacterial small subunit ribosomal RNA
Source: RNAcentral